GAUCUCCAAGAUCAGGGAUUUCAAGUAUAUAGAAAAUUUUCUCCUGAGUGAGUACUAUCUUUAAAUUCCUCAACCAGUCCACAUAGUUUGGUCCGGUCAACUUGUUGGCAUCUAAGAUGCCUCUUAGUGAAAGUGAAGAAGCCAUUUAAUAAUUCUACAUAUGCAAGAACAUAACUAAUAUAAGCAGACCAAUCAUGAUGACAUGUUUGCAACU
RNAcentral lists this long non-coding RNA (214 nucleotides) under Phoenix dactylifera (date palm). RNAcentral's name for it is "long non-coding RNA (PDAC_LNC008200)". The record is from RNAcentral. Lineage: Eukaryota; Viridiplantae; Streptophyta; Magnoliopsida; Arecales; Arecaceae.